Molecule: ribosomal RNA, 427 nt
Filed under: uncultured bacterium
Lineage: Bacteria
Description: partial 16S ribosomal RNA
Rfam family: Bacterial small subunit ribosomal RNA
Source: RNAcentral
GUGGGGAAUAUUGGGCAAUGGGGGAAACCCUGACCCAGCGACGCCGCGUGAGGGAAGAAGGCCUUAGGGUCGUAAACCUCUGUUGUGUGGGAAGAAGAGCGUGACGGUACCACACGAGGAAGUCCCGGCUAACUACGUGCCAACAGCCGCGGUAAUACGUAGGGGACGAGCGUUGUCCGGAUUUACUGGGCGUAAAGGGCGCGUAGGCGGUCAUUUAAGUCAGCUGUGAAAUGGUUUGGCUUAACCGGAUCAUGCGGUUGAAACUGGAUGACUGGAGUGCUGGAGAGGCAAGUGGAAUUCCCAGUGUAGCGGUGAAAUGCGUAGAUAUUGGGAAGAACACCGGUGGCGAAGGCGACUUGCUGGCCAGCAACUGACGCUGAGGCGCGAAAGCCAGGGGAGCAAACGGGAUUAGAAACCCUGGUAGUCC